Long non-coding RNA from Bombyx mori (domestic silkworm), 3398 nucleotides. RefSeq lists it as uncharacterized. Lineage: Eukaryota; Metazoa; Arthropoda; Insecta; Lepidoptera; Bombycidae. The transcript is spliced from 2 exons. The record is from RefSeq and is a predicted model, not a curated record.
UAUAAAAGCGCGUUACAUAUAAACAUUUCAAAAUGUUUAAGUGGAAUUCACGUUUGAAACGCCAAGUGAGAGCUGCUAAUUCUGUUCUUUUCGAUGAAGCGUUACUAAAAAUAAGUGAUCUAAUAAUAAUUUUUGCUUUAUUUUGAAUAAUAGCUAUAAAAAUGUAAUUGUGUCGUCAAACACAGGUAAAAUUUUUUUUGUAAUCGUUUGAUAAUUUGUAAUCAGAUAGUUGUUUACGUUACGAACCUAUUUUAAAAAAGAAUGGAUCCAAAUUAUAGCCUAAUUUAUUAAUUUCAUUAUCAAUUAAGUAAGUACAUAAGCUCACAACCCAUCUAGUGUUAAGUGGUAUAGACCUCACAACGUGAAUGCCGCCCCCAUUUUUAGAAACGAGGUCUGAGUUUUAACUCUAUACCAAAACGGCUGCCCCAUUCUUCAAAUUGCAACGCAUUACUGCUUCGUGGUAGAAAUGGGCGGAAUGGUGGUCUUGCGGGUUAAUCAAACGCCCUACCACCAACGAUUUCAGAAUAUUUGCUAAUUUGAUUUUAAAUAAAAGAUGAAUGAAUCCUUAAUCAUGGAAGUCUUCCAUGUAUACCUAUAUGUCAAAUACAUGUUUCAUUGGAUUUAUUGAUAUCUGCCUGCGGGAUUCUAGCACUGGUUCAGUAAGAUUUCAAAUUAAAUAGUAAAUUCUAGAAUAAAUGAGUUAGUUUUAUGGUUUUAUCAAUAAUAAAGUGUACAACAGAUCCAUCUUACGCCGACAUGAGGCCGACAACGCUAGAACAACCAGUCGAUGAUAUUCUAGGCGAGAUGCUGCUAUUCUUUAUCAAGUAAUAGAUAGUGGAUUUGUUUGACUUGGCAAGAGUAGGCUUUGAUUUGAAUACCAGAAAUAUAGUGCAGUCUUUCACAGCUUGAAGGGAAAUAAAAGCUGUGCAGACUAUUCAUAAUAAUGUUCACCCAAGGUCAUGGGCAAUAUGACGUGAAUAGGAAACUGCAUUUCAGACAUUAACUUAAUGUUCUAUAUUAUUUUUAAACAAAUGAAUCUAAUAUUUUAAGACAAUAAAUAAAUAUUUAUUUUUAUAAUUAGCCCAGUUUUUCGUCGACGAAGCCAUCUUAAGAGAAGCUUCAUUGCAAAUAUCAGGCCGAUAUUUAACUAUAGCGGACAACAAACAAGAGUAGACACAUCGUGAGCUGUAGUUGUAGAAAGAGGAGAAAAUGGAAACUAAGGCGAACCACUGGCUCAUGCAGCUUUCAUUUCAGCAGAGGCUGCUCGUACGCAGGCAGAGGCCGCGCAUCUUCCAGCUGAGAUAUAUAAAAAAAUUCAAGGAAUUGACCAAUAUCGGCAAAAACCUUGUUUAAAAUAAUAAGUUCAAUUUUGUUUUAAUUUUAGCAGAGUCCAUAAUAGUUUAUAUUACCAUAAAAACGAAAUAGCGCUUGUUACAAUAGUCAAGCAAAUCCAAAUAAUAAUAUAUACGUUUUACUUUAGGCUGGUACUACACUAAUUUUAUGACACUAAUGAGUAUAUUUUACGCUAAUAAAACUACUCUCAACUUAGCAUUUCAAAAUGACUAUUUAUUUUUUUAUUGCUAAGAUGGGUGGACGAGCUUACAGCCCACCUGGUGUUAAGUGGUUACUGGAGCCCAUAGCCAUCUACAACGUAAAUGCGCCACCCACAUUGAGAUAUAAGUUCUAAGGUCUCAGUAUAGUUACAACGGCUGCCCCACCCUUCAAACCGAAACGCAUUACUGCUUCACGGCAGAAAUAGGCGGGGCGGUGGUACCUACUCGUGCGGACUCACAAGUGGUCCUACCACCAGUAGAAUACCAGUAUUUAGCUUCAUUGUAUAUUUUGUACUCACAGUAUUUGGCAUGUUCUGCUUCUAGUCUAUAGGGUUAUAGAGCUAUCACCUUGCUAUCAUCCUACUUACCUCGGCCCCAAGUUCAGUUAUAUUUCUUUGAAGUUAUCGGCAGUCGCUAUUAUAUUUCAAUUGUGGCUUCAAUUUCAUGCGGCGAGAAGUUGGACAUGUAUUACAAACAAACUACGAUUUCCUAAUUUAAGAAUUAUUAUUCAAAUAAAACAAAAUUACACAAAAAUAAUAAUUAUCAAACUUAUCUAACGGCCGUCUGGUGUAGUGGUAAGUGCAAUACAAGCUAACAAUUAUGGUCUUGGCCAUCAUAAUAUGAUGAUCAUAAUGCAGUACUCUAUGUACCAACAAGCAUCUCCAACUGGCUUUCAAUACUCACAAUGGUCAACAGUGUUCCUGGUAUGACAAUAAACAUUACUAUAGUACUAUAUAUUAACUGCCUUCCCAGUUUUAAAUAUACUUUUAGAUUGAGUAUUAUUUUGUAGUCAGGUUACUGAGACAGAGCUCAUGAUGUUUUACUUGCCUAAAAACCAAACUUUUUCACUAUUAUGGUGCAGGUCCUGCAUAGGCAUAUUCAGUUGUGAUAAGCCGGACAAAUGUAUCAUGAAAUGUUGCAUCAAUACUAAAAAUGUUAAGAUCACUAUCACAUAUCUGAAAAAUUUAAUUCUUUAGAUAAGUACUAUCAAAUGUUUGUUAUUGUGAAUGAUAGGCUUCAGCAAAAUACUUACUAUUUGCACAUUCUUGAAAUGAUAAUGCUUGCGGUUCUAAAACCUUUCUUCAUAUACAGAAGAUCUGAUAAGUGCAAAUGAGUGCCAUCUAUACACCCCGAAACCCCAGGAAAGCCAAAUUUAUUGUAAAACCUAUAAUGAAGGAAAUUUAUUUACUAUUAUGUUAUGUUUUCAAUCACAAAAUUAUUAUUGUUCAAAUAUCUAUGUACUAUAAAAAUACGACAAAUUUUGAAUUAAAAAAAAAUUAUGUAGGAAAGAUUAAUGGUGGCCUGAAGGCCUUUCCAGUUUCACCAGGACUUAACAUUUCUCAGAACUCUGUUUAAAAUAUAGCUAUAUAUAGCUAAAUAUAGCUAUAGUUAUAAAGCUUCAAGAAUAUAACUGAUAUAUUAUUAUAUGAUUGACUCGUGGAAAUUGUAAAAUCAGUGGAACUCUUGUGCUCUAUACUAUAAGAUAAUUAUUUAACUUACCCAUUUAUAAUAACUUGUGACCCAUUGUACUGUUUGCAGAAACUUUAAAUGUUUCAAUAAAACUGGAAGAUUGUUUAAUGCCAUAGCCACUUCCCUAAUGGCAUUGGAUUUACUAGUUUAACUCAAAAUGCAAAAAGCUCAUUCCCACAGGUUUCUGGUAUGAAAUUUUGCAAUGCUGUUAACACCUGUAUAAAAAAGUUAUUUAAAACAUUUAGUUAAGAAUAAAUCUGAAAUCAAAAAAACAAUGCUACUUUUGAAGACAAGAUUUUGUGAAUCUUUUAUUUUCUUCAUUAUUUACACAUAAUUUAAUAUAAUGUUAAAUUGAAUAUAUAUAAGUACCUUGCA